UGCUGAUUGUUCAAAUAAAAGUACGCAGACAAUUGGGAGGAAGAAGGAGGAUGGGGUUGUGUUGACCAGGCUUGGAGUGGGGGGUAGCAAGCCAAGUCGUGAGGAAGAGAAAGCCCAGGCAGAGCGAACAACAAAUGUUAACGUUGGAGGUACGCCCGACACCGGUGUGCGUGGGGAGGGGUGCAAGCGUGCACGGGGGCUUGCAUUCCCGUGCAGGUUUGUGCAUGCCCUCUUUGGGACACCUGUGUCAUUGGCAGGCCCUGUGCAGCACUGGUGUCUCCCUCCCUCUCAUGAUUUUAAUGAGGCCUCACUCCAGCCAAGUGCCUGGAGACUCCGUGAGCAGGAAUGAGCUAUCCUCCUAGAUCCUGGAGACAUGAGGUCCCGCCCACAGGCAGCACUGACCUCCAAACACGUAAGUGAAUCCAUCUGCAACCAUCCUGACUGCGGCCACACCAGGGGUCCUAGGUCAGAGCCCAGUCCAAAUCACUGACGCCCAGUCCUGGGCGUCAGUGAAACGGUUCUUGUUUGAAGCCGCUGCGUUUGUUACACAUCAACGGAUAAUACCUGAUAAUACCAGCUUUUAAUUUCUGAAUCAACAUGUGGAACCGAGAGGUGUUUUGGGUGCCCAGUGACGCGUGGGGGUGGAGGCAGGACACAGGAUUCUCGGCUCUAGGAGCUGAUGGCCUCGUUGAGUCACGGGGAAAAUGAAGUCUCACACCGGAGUCAGAUCCCUCGCUGACAGCUCAAACCCAUCCUCCCUUCAUCAUGGGGAUCGCAUCGGGGCUCAGCAGCACGUGGCUACCCAGCUGCGCCUUGUUUCCUAGCCUCCUCUGCAUCAGGAUUUGUCACAUGACCGGGCUGUCUCCAAUGGGAUGUGGGAGGGAGUGGUGGAGGCCACGCGCGGGCCAGAGCCUGUAAGGACAGUGGGGCUGUUUUUCCUCCCUACGGGAAUAAAAGGAGCCAGUCUCUGCUUUUCGGUGACGAGAGCCGCUCACCACCCUAGCCAGGAUCGUUGAGAAAGUUCUAAUCCUCUCAUUUAUGCUUUGCGUUCUCUGUUGUAGGAGGUUAGCUUUAUCCUGUUUCCUACUGCCAGCCUCUCCUGCAAGGCAGCCCGUGUCUUAUGUCCAGACCAGAAGCUGGG
RNAcentral lists this long non-coding RNA (1141 nucleotides) under Lynx canadensis (Canada lynx). Its description in RNAcentral is "lncRNA (ENSLCNG00005005926.1)". Lineage: Eukaryota; Metazoa; Chordata; Mammalia; Carnivora; Felidae. The record is from RNAcentral.